ACGUCAAAAACUAAAAACUUUUCAAGAUUUUUCAUCAUAUCGAAUCUUGCAGCAUAUAUAUAAAGCAUUAACUAUAGACAAAAACAAAAAUUAAUUAUACAGUUUGCCUGUAAAUCGUGAGAUAAAUCUUGACUCUAGUUAGUCCAUGAUUGGACAAUAAUUUCUAAAUAAAAACAAAAGUGAUAUAGUAUUCAAAACCAAAAAAAACAGAACUAAGCAAGGCCAAAUUUUUUCACUCCA
This 240-nucleotide long non-coding RNA is filed under the name Sorghum bicolor (sorghum). RNAcentral's name for it is "long non-coding RNA (SBIC_LNC000541)". The record is from RNAcentral. Lineage: Eukaryota; Viridiplantae; Streptophyta; Magnoliopsida; Poales; Poaceae.